RNAcentral lists this ribosomal RNA (645 nucleotides) under uncultured Actinoplanes sp. RNAcentral's name for it is "bacterial SSU rRNA". It matches the Rfam family "Bacterial small subunit ribosomal RNA", at positions 232 to 886 of the family's 1533-position model. The record is from RNAcentral. Lineage: Bacteria; Bacillati; Actinomycetota; Actinomycetes; Micromonosporales; Micromonosporaceae.
CGCGGCCUAUCAGCUUGUUGGCGGGGUAAUGGCCCACCAAGGCUUCGACGGGUAGCCGGCCUGAGAGGGCGACCGGCCACACUGGGACUGAGACACGGCCCAGACUCCUACGGGAGGCAGCAGUGGGGAAUAUUGCACAAUGGGCGAAAGCCUGAUGCAGCGACGCCGCGUGAGGGAAGACGGCCUUCGGGUUGUAAACCUCUUUCAGCAGGGACGAAGCGAAAGUGACGGUACCGGCAGAAGAAGCGCCGGCCAACUACGUGCCAGCAGCCGCGGUAAGACGUAAGGCGCAAGCGUUGUCCGGAAUUAUUGGGCGUAAAGAGCUCGUAGGCGGCUUGUCGCGUCGACUGUGAAAACCCACGGCUCAACCGUGUGGCCUGCAGUCGAUACGGGCAGGCUAGAAUUCGGUAGGGGAGACUGGAAUUCCUGGUGUAGCGGUGAAAUGCGCAGAUAUCAGGAGGAACACCGGUGGCGAAGGCGGGUCUCUGGGCCGAUAUUGACGCUGAGGAGCGAAAGCGUGGGGAGCGAACAGGAUUAGAUACCCUGGUAGUCCACGCCGUAAACGUUGGGCGCUAGGUGUGGGGGGCCUCUCCGGUCCUCUGUGCCGCAGCUAACGCAUUAAGCGCCCCGCCUGGGGAGUACGGA